AACGCUGGCGGCGUGCCUAACACAUGCAAGUCGACGGAAUCAGGCGCUUCGGAGACUUCGGUCAAUGUUUGCCUGGUUUAGUGGCGGACGGGUGAGUAACGCGUGGAUAACCCUGCCUCAUACAGGGGGAUAACAGUUAGAAAUGACUGCUAAUACCGCAUAAGCGCACGGGACCGCAUGAUCCUGUGUGAAAAACUCCGGUGGUAUGAGAUGGAUCCGCGUCUGAUUAGCUAGUUGCGGGGUAACAGCCCACCAAGGCGACGAUCAGUAGCCGGCCUGGGAGGGUGAACGGCCACAUUGGGACUGAGACACGGCCCAAACUCCUACGGGAGGCAGCAGUGGGGGAUAUUGCACAAUGGGGGAAACCCUGAUGCAGCCGACGCCGCGUGAGUGAAGAAGUAUUUCGGUAUGUAAAGCUCUAUCAGCAGGGAAGAUAAUGACGGUACCUGACUAAGAAGCACCGGCUAAAUACGUGCCAGCCGCUGC
RNAcentral lists this ribosomal RNA (486 nucleotides) under uncultured bacterium. Its description in RNAcentral is "bacterial SSU rRNA". It matches the Rfam family "Bacterial small subunit ribosomal RNA", at positions 32 to 518 of the family's 1533-position model. The record is from RNAcentral.